Chanos chanos (milkfish) is the source of this 129-nucleotide small nucleolar RNA. RefSeq annotates it as small nucleolar RNA ACA64. The transcript has a single exon. Lineage: Eukaryota; Metazoa; Chordata; Actinopteri; Gonorynchiformes; Chanidae. The record is from RefSeq and is a predicted model, not a curated record.
ACAGUCUGAAAAUUACCUCAGCUGCUUCAGUCAGUUGGAGUAAGAUAACUGUGCAAAUAGAAAUAUGGUACAUUUAAGCUUAUUGCCAGCUUUAUGUUGCUGUGUAAUGAAACCCAUGUACCGACACGU